CAGCAGCCACGGUAAUACGAAGGGGGCUAGCGUUGCUCGGAAUGACUGGGCGUAAAGGGCGCGUAGGCGGCGAUCAAAGUCAGGCGUGAAAUUCCUGGGCUCAACCUGGGGGCUGCGCUUGAUACUUGGUUGCUUGAGUGGGGAAGAGGGUCGUGGAAUUCCCAGUGUAGAGGUGAAAUUCGUAGAUAUUGGGAAGAACACCGGUGGCGAAGGCGGCGACCUGGUCCUUGACUGACGCUGAGGCGCGAAAGCGUGGGGAGCAAACAGGAUUAGAUACCCCUGUAGUCCCUGUCUCUUAUAC
RNAcentral lists this ribosomal RNA (301 nucleotides) under uncultured bacterium. Its description in RNAcentral is "partial 16S ribosomal RNA". It matches the Rfam family "Bacterial small subunit ribosomal RNA", at positions 509 to 807 of the family's 1533-position model. The record is from RNAcentral.